Molecule: ribosomal RNA, 416 nt
Filed under: Escherichia coli
Lineage: Bacteria; Pseudomonadati; Pseudomonadota; Gammaproteobacteria; Enterobacterales; Enterobacteriaceae
Description: partial 23S ribosomal RNA
Rfam family: Bacterial large subunit ribosomal RNA
Source: RNAcentral
ACCGGCGAUUUCCGAAUGGGGAAACCCAGUGUGAUUCGUCACACUAUCAUUAACUGAAUCCAUAGGUUAAUGAGGCGAACCGGGGGAACUGAAACAUCUAAGUACCCCGAGGAAAAGAAAUCAACCGAGAUUCCCCCAGUAGCGGCGAGCGAACGGGGAGGAGCCCAGAGCCUGAAUCAGUGUGUGUGUUAGUGGAAGCGUCUGGAAAGGCGCGCGAUACAGGGUGACAGCCCCGUACACAAAAAUGCACAUACUGUGAGCUCGAUGAGUAGGGCGGGACACGUGGUAUCCUGUCUGAAUAUGGGGGGACCAUCCUCCAAGGCUAAAUACUCCUGACUGACCGAUAGUGAACCAGUACCGUGAGGGAAAGGCGAAAAGAACCCCGGCGAGGGGAGUGAAAAAGAACCUGAAACCGU